AGUGAACGCUGGCGAUAGGCCUAACACAUGCAAGUCGAACGGCAGCACAGUAAGAGCUUGCUCUUACGGGUGGCGAGUGGCGGACGAGUGAGGAAUACAUCGGAAUCUACUUUUUCGUGGGGGAUAACGUAGGGAAACUUACGCUAAUACCGCAUACGACCUACGGGUGAAAGCAGGGGAUCUUCGGACCUUGCGCGAUUGAAUGAGCCGAUGUCGGAUUAGCUAGUUGGCGGGGUAAAGGCCCACCAAGGCGACGAUCCGUAGCUGGUCUGAGAGGAUGAUCAGCCACACUGGAACUGAGACACGGUCCAGACUCCUACGGGAGGCAGCAGUGGGGAAUAUUGGACAAUGGGCGCAAGCCUGAUCCAGCCAUACCGCGUGGGUGAAGAAGGCCUUCGGGUUGUAAAGCCCUUUUGUUGGGAAAGAAAAGCAGCAGGUUAAUACCCCGCUGUUCUGACGGUACCCAAAGAAUAAGCACCGGCUAACUUCGUG
Molecule: ribosomal RNA, 492 nt
Filed under: uncultured bacterium
Lineage: Bacteria
Description: partial 16S ribosomal RNA
Rfam family: Bacterial small subunit ribosomal RNA
Source: RNAcentral